AUGCUAGGUGUUGUUGACUGGAACAUGAAAUUUCUUUAUGUUCUACCUGGCUGGGAGGGAUCUGCAUCUGACUCCAGAGUGUUGCGUGAUGCAAUGAUAAACGAUUGUCAAUAUGCAUUUAUUAUACUUCAUGGAAAAUACUACUUAGUGGAUGCUGGCUAUACUCAUGGACCUGGCUUUCUGGCUCCAUUCAGAUCGACUAGGUACCACUUGAAAGAGUGGGUCUCAACUCAACAACAACCCCAAACUGACAAAGAGUUGUAUAACUUGCGUCAUUCUCGGGCUAGAAAUGUUGUGGAGAGAACUUUUGGCCUAUGGAAGAAAAAAAUGGAUCCGGAUUAUUAA
Molecule: ribosomal RNA, 345 nt
Filed under: Triticum aestivum (bread wheat)
Lineage: Eukaryota; Viridiplantae; Streptophyta; Magnoliopsida; Poales; Poaceae
Description: partial small subunit ribosomal RNA
Source: RNAcentral